This 2039-nucleotide long non-coding RNA is filed under the name Sus scrofa (pig). RNAcentral describes it as "lncRNA (ENSSSCG00040060649.1)". The record is from RNAcentral. Lineage: Eukaryota; Metazoa; Chordata; Mammalia; Artiodactyla; Suidae.
AGGCUUUCACUAACCUUUUCCCCAAAAGCCUCCCAGAUUCUGCUCACCAACCAGUGCCAAAGCCAGUGGCAGAUGUUUUAAGAUUUUGUUACAGUAGCACCCCACUUCCAACACCAGAUUUCUACUCCAAUCACUACUGCUGUCGAAAAAUCACCCUAGGGGUCUAAUCGGAGCUGUAGCUGCCGGCCUAUGCUAUAGCCACAGCAACGCCAGAUCUGAGCCAUGUUUGUAACCUACAUGACAGCUCACAGCAAUGCCAGAUCCUUAACCCACUGAGCAAGGCCAGGGAUCGAACCCACAAUCUCAUGGUUCCUAGUCAGAUUCGUUAACCACUGAGCCACAAUGGGAACUCCUGGUUUUUUGUUUUUUGUGUUUUUUUUUUGGUUUAUUUAUUUACUUAUUUAUUUUUGUCUUUUGUCUUUUUAGGGCUGCACCUGCAGCAUAUGGAAGUUCCCAGCCUAGGGGUCUAAUCAGAGCUACAGCUGCUGGCCUAUGCCACAGCUGCAUCAACGCUGGAUCCAAUCCGUGUCUUCGACCUACACCACAGCUCACAGCAACGCAGGAUCCUUCACCCACUGAAUGAGGCCUGGGAUCAAACCCAUAACCUCAUGGUUCCUAGUCAGUUUUGUUUCCACUGCACCACGACAGAACUCCAGAGCCUCAGUUUCAACCUACGCUGCAGCAAGGCCAGAUCCCUUUAACCCCCCUGUGCUGGGCAGGGGAUCAAACCUGUGUCCUGGAGCUGCAGACAUCACUGAUACUUAACUUUUUUUUUUUUUUAACUAUGGUAUGAAUGGCCUUUAAUUGUUUGCAAUGGGAGGUGGAAGAUUAAAGCCAGCUUUUCCUCCUGGGGUGACUCCACAGACUUGGUCGCAGCCCUAAUGACUUAACUUCUUGAUGCUGAUAGUAAAAUGUGAGUGGACAGAGAUAAAGUAAGAGUGUGUUAUUAAGCUUAAAGGAACCAGAUUGUGAAGAUUUAGGACUUACUCAUAUGCAAAAAAUGAGAAGGCACGCUCUGGAGAGAACACUAAGUGUGUGGCCAGAUACUGCUCAAGAGACUAUGGUUGUGUGACUUGUGAAUCCAGUCAGCCACUUCAGCAGAAAUGCUGCCAACUUGAAGGGAAGAGAAAGGUUGAAAUGAAAGAACUUUGGGGAUCCUACAGGCAGGAAACACAGAUAGAGCUAGCUAGCUGUGGACAUAGGUUAUCCUUAAAGAAAAGGGAAGAAUGACACUGAGGGUAGGACCACUUCAUUGGCUACAGAGGGUGAAGCCUCCUUUUCAAUUCCAGAGCACUGGUCCACCAUCCAGGGUUGAAGAGGCAGGGCCAGUAGCCCAGUGGGCUUAGAGGACAGAGCAUUUACCAAAGAGGAUUAUUCUCAAGCCUUAAAAUCUAAUGGGAUUUACCCUGCUAGUUUUUGGACUUACUUGGGAUUCAUAACCCUCUUUUUCAUGAUGAUUUCCUUUUGGAAUGGGAAAGUCUAUCCCAUGCCUAUCUGAUUAUUGUGUUUUGAAAGCAAGUAACUUGUCUGGUUUCACAGGUUCACACAUGAAGAGGAUACUGUCCCUGGAUGAAUCAUACCCAUCUCAUCCACACCUGAUUUAGAAGAGAUUAUGGACUUAGAGUUGAUACUGGAAUGGAUUGAGAUUUGGGGGAUGUUGGACAGGGGUGAAUACAUUCUGCAUGUGAAGAGGACAAGAACUUGGUGGGGCUGGGGUGGAGCCAAGAGGCAGAUUGUUGAAGGUUGAACUGUAUCCUGUCAAAAAAGAUGCUGGGGAGUUCCCAUCAUGGCGCAGUGGUUAACGAAUCCAACUAGGAACCAUGAGGUUGCGGGUUCGGUCCCUGGCCUUGCUCAGUGGGUUAAGGAUCCGGCCGUGAGCUGUGGCGUAGGUUGCAGAUGCGGCUCGGAUUCCACGUUACUGUGGCUCUGGCGUAGGCUGGUGGCUACGGCUCUGAUUCGACCCCUAGCCUGGAUACCUCCAUAUGCCGUAGGAGCGGCCCAAGAAAUGGCAAAAAGAUUUAAAAAAAAAAAAAAAAAAA